This is a long non-coding RNA of Cynoglossus semilaevis (tongue sole), 1317 nucleotides long. RefSeq lists it as uncharacterized. The transcript is spliced from 4 exons. The record is from RefSeq and is a predicted model, not a curated record. NCBI's taxonomy places the organism in Eukaryota, Metazoa, Chordata, Actinopteri, Pleuronectiformes, Cynoglossidae.
UUGUUUGUUUUGAAUCAAUGUUGUAAUUUUGUUUGUUAAAGGAGAACAUGUGGUUCCUCUCCUUCCCCUACUGGUGGCGUUAAAAACAUUUGUUUGAAAUGCUUUACCUAUGGUAUAAAUAAUAUGGUUAUAAUAAUAAUAAUAAUAAUAAUAAUAAUAAUAAUAAUAACUUAAGUGUAAAAAAUAAAAAUGUUUUUUAGAAUGUAUUUAUGCUAUCUUAAAAUAUAUACAUCACAAAAAAUAACUCUCCAGAGUAGAUAUUGUUAGUAAGUGAAACGUCAUGACUACUAUUGUAGCAUCUUAUUGGAUGGUCUGAAAUGUCAAUCAAACGACUUGAACCCACUCUCUUAUUGGAACAUCUAAAAAAGGAGCUGCUAACGUUUGGGCUCGUCUUUUUGUUACAAACAAUACAUUCUGCAACUCGAGUUCGAUAUAAAUGCCCCAAGACGGUGGUUCUCCAACCAUGGUACGAACACAAGUGACGGAACCUGGACGUCGUUUCAUGGUACCUAACAGAAUUCGAUUCUCUUUACGAUUAGGCUUUGCAGAUGAAAACCCCAGUUGAUGUCAAUACAACACACCAUUUGUCACAGAAUCUCUGACACACAGUGAAUAUCCCCUGCCUUUUACUGGAAAUGAUGACCUGUCCUCCUCUGGGAGUGGUCCACAGCUAUGUUUACACUUGGAGGUGCUGAAGCUGAGUUCAAGACCAUGAAGAAAAUGUCUAUGACGGGAUUACCAGGAUUUAAGUGAAGAUAUGACCCAAGAGUAAACAGCUCCUGUACAAGAGGAUGUGAUGAAGAGAUAAGAAGAUAAACUCACCAGCUGGGACAAUUAAAAACAUCCAUAUCUGAAUAAUUGUUUUAUGUUACCUCCCUGUCUACACAAGACUGACAGAGUUGACAUCAGUGCUGUCUUUGAUAAAAUGACAGCUACUGAAAAGUUUGUCCUCCUCCAUGUGCUUCUGAGAAAUGUGCUGAUCAUGUGAACUAAAUACUACUACUACUUUAAUAAUGUAUUUAAUGCCCUGUGCACCUUUUAGUGAAACACUGCUGAACUCCAACAGACAGAGACAACUGAUUAAUGAUAAUGAUAACUGUAAAAUACAGCACAGAUAGCAGAAAAGGUUAGCUAUAUUGGAGGACCGUUUUAUAAACAGUUAUUAUUGUGCUGACAGAACUACACACAUAUAUAUGUCUGACCCUUAUAUACCACGAUACUGGUCAAAAUUAGCACAAAUGAGCUGCCACACCUUAUAGAUUACCAAACAUAAUCUAUAUAAGUUACAUAAAUAAGUUAUUAUUUAAUGUAAAACUA